GCUUCAGUAGUGCAACGGGUUACAGCACGCAAUCUUGGGUAGAGUGAGCUAUGGGUUCGAGUCCCGUCUGACGUG
Non-coding RNA from Parelaphostrongylus tenuis, 75 nucleotides. Lineage: Eukaryota; Metazoa; Nematoda; Chromadorea; Rhabditida; Metastrongylidae. The record is from the annotation of a GenBank genome assembly.